UGGGGAAUAUUGCGCAAUGGGGGAAACCCUGACGCAGCAACGCCGCGUGAAGGAUGAAGGUUUUCGGAUUGUAAACUUCUUUGAUGGGGGACGAAUUAAUGACGGUACCCCAAAAACAAGCCACGGCUAACUACGUGCCAGCAGCCGCGGUAAUACGUAGGUGGCGAGCGUUGUCCGGAAUUACUGGGUGUAAAGGGCGUGUAGGCGGGAAUACAAGUCAGAUGUGAAAUACCGAGGCUUAACUUCGGGGCUGCAUCUGAAACUGUGUUUCUUGAGUGUCGGAGAGGAAAGUGGAAUUCCCAGUGUAGCGGUGAAAUGCGUAGAUAUUGGGAGGAACACCAGUGGCGAAGGCGACUUACUGGACUGUAACUGACACUGAGGCUCGAAAGCGUGGGGAGCAAACAGG
Molecule: ribosomal RNA, 406 nt
Filed under: uncultured prokaryote
Also listed under: 1 other name
Description: bacterial SSU rRNA
Rfam family: Bacterial small subunit ribosomal RNA
Source: RNAcentral